Hordeum vulgare subsp. vulgare (domesticated barley) is the source of this 136-nucleotide non-coding RNA. The record is from Rfam. NCBI's taxonomy places the organism in Eukaryota, Viridiplantae, Streptophyta, Magnoliopsida, Poales, Poaceae.
AGAGUACUCCCUCCUUCCUAAAAUUAUUGUCUUAGUUUUGUCUAAAAAUUAAUGUAUCUAAAUACUAAAGCGUGACUAGAUACAUUUAUAUCUAGAUUAAUCUAAGACAAGAAUUUUGGAACGAAAGGAGUANAUA